AAUAAAUUUCUUACAGUUAUUUACCUCUGGUUUUGACCUGGAAAUUGGCCGUGUGUCCUAUGCAGCUUCAUGUACAGCAGUGAGAAGAGUUUGAGAAACGCUCAUCAGUGUCUGGCUCCAGAUAGAGACUGCAUUCGAUAUGCAAGAUUCAGACUGUAGGAUCCAAUUCUACAGGGGGGCGCUUCCCAUCCGUGAAACUCUGGCAUGCCCAAACUCUCGUCUCAGUUCCUUCCUCUCUCAGAAAAGCAAGGCUGCCCGUGAGGUCUCCAUGCCUUCUCCCAGCAGCAGCCCUGUCUUCUCUUUGCCAGGUGCUUCGCCCUUUGCCUGCUUCCAGCUACAGUAAGCAGUACAGGUACGAGAGAAAGACUGCAGUGUCUUUCAUCUGCCGUGGUCCUAUCUUAAACCUUAAGGCAGCCUUCUCCAGGCAAACAUAGGUAGUACAGGGCUUCCAAACAGAGAGCAGGUAAACACCUAAAAAAUGAAAAAGUAUGAUUUGGAAACAGUGCUAACUCUUCCAGUUAGCGACAUGGUGUGUAGUGUCAGCAUUCGUGCCAGUAGUAUUUAUU
This 566-nucleotide long non-coding RNA is filed under the name Chinchilla lanigera (long-tailed chinchilla). Its description in RNAcentral is "lncRNA (ENSCLAG00000023810.1)". The record is from RNAcentral. Lineage: Eukaryota; Metazoa; Chordata; Mammalia; Rodentia; Chinchillidae.